GUUAUUUGCAAUGUAAGUAUGUUUAUACGUUUGCAAUGCCAUAUUUCAUGACUCAAAAUGAAUUUGCUGACAGCAGCAUCAGCACCUGUAGAAAUCUCAUUAUAUCCCACAUCCAGACCUUCAGAAACAUAUCUAGCGUGCAUUGAACGUUACUUGAAAUAGCAUUGCCAAACUUGCCCUCAGAUAUUUCACACCUGUCAAUCCCAUGCCAGUAACAACACAUGAACAGAGCUGUCCGUUACUUAAGAAGUUUUGGCACAGUUAGAGUAGGAACUGUAAUUUCUUUAAAAAUUGGCACGUAGUUUGGAUUGGGUUGGCUCGGCCCUUGAUCCAAAGUCUCAAUGAUAGUCUGCUUCAUGUCUCUGCUGGCAUCUCCUCUCACCGUCAGCAAGGCUGCAAUGUGGUCAUCCCUGAUAUCUGGGUAUUUACUGACUAAAGUUGAGACUUCCAGAUAGAGCAGGGAAGGAUCAGUUAGUUUGAUAACCUCUGCAAUAGCUUCAAUGAUAUCACAGAGUCCUUCAGUGUCCUCUCCAGAUCCAGAUGCAAGCUUCUUAAACAGAAAUCUGAACUGUUCUGCUUCUUUGAUCAUUUUUUCUGCGCCCUCUUUUCUCUCUUCUGCAUUCUUGAAAGAGAUACGUUUUAACAUGAUUGCCCUGAUGUAUUCCACAACCACCCUUCGAUGGGCCUCCAUAGUCAUCGUCUUUUUAUAAGGCUUUUUUAUUUUUGCAAAGUCAUUAAAAUAAUCCUCUACAGUGACACAAAUAGUUCC
RNAcentral lists this long non-coding RNA (769 nucleotides) under Gallus gallus (chicken). Lineage: Eukaryota; Metazoa; Chordata; Aves; Galliformes; Phasianidae. The record is from RNAcentral.